GGAAAGGCUGUCUGCAAACAGGUGAUCUCAGAAGGGGGUUUGUGCCUCUCUAGGAAGGAAGCCUCAUUGUGGACAUCUGGGAGCAGAAAUAAUCAUGAGGCCCAAAACACUUCCUGAAUGAAAGAGAACCUGCAUUGAAUUUUGUUCUGUGGUGAAUGGUACAUCCCAGCCUUCUUGCACAUAGAAACACUACACAGCACUUCAGCUGUAUGUUUGGGGGCCAUUUUAAACAGCAAAAUCAUCAACAGGAAGCAGAAAAUUGUAAAAAUUGUGGCACUAAAUAGACCAUGUAAAGGACACAUGUUUGCAAUAAGAAAGCUGAAACAAGAAGGGGGAGUGUCACCUUAUUUGAUCCAGCUAGAAACUCAGGUGCUGGUAUUCCAGCAACACUCAGGCGGCUGCUCCAGGAGGCUGCAGAGGGGUCCUUUUUAGCCGUCAACAAAACUGGCUAUGGUCACGCCCAUUGGGAAACUCAUUGCUGCCUUCAAGGACUCAGAAGCUGUAGGAAUAUUCAGGCACAGACACCAGACCCAGCUUCAUCUCUAACUUGUGGCAAAGGACAGUACAUCCUGGGAUGGGACCCUAUGCUCCCCUAUGCCAUUUAGACAGAGCCUGGGGAGAGUGACUUCCCAGGGUAUCCAUGUUGGAAUCUCUCAUUUGAUUCUUAUUCAAAUUUAGGUUCUGUCAAUAGAAGAUACUAAAGAAAGAAAGCCAGGAGAAGAAAAGGGACUUCUUUCUUCAAGGUCUAAGCUGUUCUAAUAGCAUUAUUCUGGGAAUGGCAUCUUCCACUCCUCCUAGUACAAAGAACCUGCUUCCUCAUACCCCGUCAAGGAACUGCAGCAUCCAGGUGAUGGCCACAGUGGCAGAACCUAGGAAGCCAAGAAGAAACCAGAGAAUGGAGACACAUGGCAGCAAUGGCAAGUCAUCAGACCCAGGAUUUCCCAAAGAACACUGGUCCAGGAAGAUGCUCUGUGAAAAAGUGUUCCCUGGUCGGAGAAAUUUGUGAAACACUUUGCAUAAUACUUAAAAGAAUGUAUGGCACAUCAAAGAUCUUAUAACAGUCUCCGCAGGAAGCAGCUGCAGUCAUUAGCCAUAGGACAGACUAAACACACAAUCUGCAUGGAAGGAGGCCUGGAUCAGCUUGGUCUUUCAGAUCUCUAAUCUCAGGCACAGGAAAGCACCAUCAACAGCACCCUUUGUAUAUAUACAUAAAGGUAACAUAUUUUAUCAUUUAAAGGGAUUUGAGAAAUUGAAGAGGCCCAACUCUUUUUCUGCCUUCUUUGGUUUGAGGCUUAGAUUGCUUAAGGGGCUUGCCCAGGAUCACAUAUCUUGUAAGAGACAGAGCAAGGAUUCAAAGCCAGUGCUGGCUUCUGUGUCUCCAUUCUUUCCAUUCUCCUCCAGUGGCUCUUUUGGGAAGCUGAGGGAGGAACAGCAGCAGAAUUGGGUGGCACCUGCCCAUGCCCAUCAUGC
Molecule: long non-coding RNA, 1470 nt
Filed under: Homo sapiens (human)
Lineage: Eukaryota; Metazoa; Chordata; Mammalia; Primates; Hominidae
Description: HSALNT0394510
Source: RNAcentral